AUUUUCCUUCCGUCUCAGCGCAACUAUUGUUUGAUGAUCUGGGGAUGUAUUAAUUACAAUGACGUGAAAAAUAUAACUGUUAUUGACGGGAACAUAAAUGCCUUAAAAUACUUUGACAUAAUUGACAACAAAGUGUGGUCAAUGAUUAUUAAAUUCAGAAGAGUUUUUAAACUCGACGUCGAAUAAUCUCACAAAAAAGGAAACAAAUAUUUCGGCGACUUUUGUUAGCAGGUAUACUCGAAUGACCAUUAGGAAAAAAGCGAAUGAUCAAUAUCAAGGUAACCAAUUUUACAUUUAUUGUACCUAAUAUAUCUGCACUGUGUGGUGUGAUCUAAUUUUGUUGAAAAAAAUUGACAAAAAAAAGUAGGCACGUAAAACAUCUCAAUUAUUAUCAAUUUCUAAUAAAACAACGUUUUUCUAUUGCAACGAAAGUCCUUUCAAAGUCCGAACCAAUGACAAGGUUUAUAAAAAAAUAAAUCAGCGCUUUUAUGAAAAGAUGUUCUCAAUGAACAUAAUAAAAGAGGAACGAAAGAUACAAGAGGGACAGUCAAACUCAUAAAUCGAAAAUAAACUGACAACACCAUGGCUAAAAAUAAAAAGUUCAAACAGACAAACAAUAGUACACAUGAUACAACAUAGAAAACUAAAGAAUAAACAACACGAACCGCAUUUAUAAUUAUACCUUCACAUUUCACACAAUUAGUUGUUAACCCAUUCGAACAAAAAGAACUGCAUUCUUAGCUGUUUAUUAUUUUGAACAAAAGCCUUAUGAAAAAAUUAUAAAGUAUGCACUGUUUUCUAUUAUACAUUGAUAACUUACUUCAUCAAUUUACAAUUAUUGACUUAGUUUUAUUAUUAAUUUCAGAAAAAAUGAUCAUCUUGUGGAAUAAUCUCACAAAAGUAGAAGCAAAAAUUUCGGCGACUUUUUUAACAGGUAUAUUCAAAUGACCGUUAGAAAAAAGCGGAACAUCAAUAUUAUGGUAAUCAACUUUACGUUUAUUCUACCUAACAUAACGACACUGUGUGUUGUGAUUUAAUUUUGUUGAAAAAAUUGACAAAAAAAAUUAGCACGUAAAACAUCUGAUAAAUAAGCAAUAUCGAAUAAAACAACGUUUCUCUAUUGCAAGAAAAGUGUUUCACAAGUUGAAACUAGGGACAAAGUGUGAAGAAAUACAAAACAGCGCUUUUAUGAAAAGACGUUUUCAAAGAAUAUCACAAUUAUACAAUCACAUUUCACACAAUAAGUUGUUAACCCAUUUGAACAACUAUAACUGCAUUCUUAGUUGUUGAUAAUUUUUGUAAAAAAAAAAUGGCCGAAAAAGGUAUAAAGUGCGCACUGUUUUUUUUUUACCUUAUACAUUAAUUACCUACUUCAUCUAUAAAUAAUUAUUGUAUACUUUUUAUUUUCAUUAUCAGAAGAAUUUUCAAACUCGUGGAAUAAUAUCUGAAAAGAGGAAGCAAAAAUUUCGACGACUUCUUUUUAGCAGGAAUAUUCGAAUGACCGUUAGAAAAAAAGAGAAACAUCAAUAUCAAGAUAAUCAAUUGUACAAUAACUCUAACUAAUAUAACGGCACUGUGUGGUGUGGUAUAAUUUGGUGAAAAUAUUGACUGACAAAAGUGGGCACGUAACACAUCUCAUCAAUAAGCAAUUUCCAAUAAAUCAACAUUUUUAUUUUGCAAGGAAAGUCCUUACUAAGUCAACCAAAGUGACAAAGUUUGCAGAAAAAUAAAUCAGGGCUUUUCUGAAAAGCUGUUUUCAUUGAAGAUACAUGUAGCAAUUAUACAGUAUUCUGCCAUAAGUAUUCGUAAAAACAACAAUUGCGGUCACGUCAUGGAAGGUUAAACAAGUUUUGGCCGUCGUCUCCAUGUCACAAUCUGGAUGACCGUGAAUCUAAAUUUAAAUAUAAAUUGAUCUGUAGAAAAACAUGUGGUUGUCAUGUGACACGUGCAUGAUGGCAUCAACCUUGUCUUGUAAAUAAAAUGGGUCGAAGGGGAAAAGAACUGACAUCUUAUCAGAAAAGGGAUUUCGCUGCAUUAAAUGAUGCAGGUUACCGAAAAAGUGAAAUAGUCAGACUGACCGGCAUUACACAAAGACCCGUUGACAUUUUUUGAAGAGGUAUGAACAUCGCGGUGAUAUAGAAAACAUACGGAGAUGCAGCAGACCUAAAUCCUUUCAUGACCGGUAUAUGAGAAAAUUUUCCCGUCCCGUAAAAAAAUAUCGCCAUGAAGGUUUAGCUGAAAUUACAAAUAAUUUUAAUGAGAACAUUGAUAGACCUUUCUCUAAAAGAACUGUUGAAUGUAAAAUACAUUUUGAUUGAUUCUGCACGCGGUCAGUUUAAAAAAAAAUAUCGUAUAUGUGAGAUCAAUUAGAAAAAACGAGUGGCAUACUGCAUAGGAAAUCUACAUAAAAGAGGAAAUGUACACUGGAGUAAAUGGAUAUUCAACGAUAAGUGAAAGGUAGUCAUACGGCAAAAUUCUUCAGCCAAUGUCUAGAGAAGGUCGGAGAAGAGUGGUUGAUGGAUUGUAUUUUCCUUCCGUCUCAGCGCAACUAUUGUUUGAUGAUCUGGGGAUGUAUUAAUUACAAUGACGUGGGAAUUAUUAACUGUUAUUGACGGGAACAUAAAUGCCUUAAAAUACUUUGACAUAAUUGACAACAAAGUGUGGUCAAUGAUUAUUAAAUUCAGAAGAGUUUUUAAACUCGACGUCGAAUAAUCUCACAAAAAAGGAAACAAAUAUUUCGGCGACUUUUGUUAGCAGGUAUACUCGAAUGACCAUUAGGAAAAAAGCGAAACAUCAAUAUCAAGGUAAUCAAUUUUACAUUUAUUGUACCUAAUAUAUCUGCACUGUGUGGUGUGAUCUAAUUUUGUUGAAAAUAUUGACAAAAAAAAGUAGGCACGUAAAACAUCUCUAAUUAUUAUCAAUUUCUAAUAAAACAACGUUUUUCUAUUGCAACGAAAGUCCUUUCAAAGUCCGAACCAAUGACAAGGUUUAUAAAAAAAUAAAUCAGCGCUUUUAUGAAAAGAUGUUUUCAAUGAACAUAAUAAAAGAGGAACGAAAGAUACAAGAGGGACAGUCAAACUCAUAAAUCGAAAAUAAACUGACAACACCAUGGCUAAAAAUAAAAAGUUCAAACAGACAAACAAUAGUACACAUGAUACAACAUAGAAAACUAAAGAAUAAACAACACGAACCGCAUUUAUAAUUAUACCUUCACAUUUCACACAAUUAGUUGUUAACCCAUUCGAACAAAAAGAACUGCAUUCUUAGCUGUUUAUUAUUUUGAACAAAAGCCUAAUGAAAAAAUUAUAAAGUAUGCACUGUUUUCUAUUAUACAUUGAUAACUUACUUCAUCAAUUUACAAUUAUUGACUUAGUUUUAUUAUUAAUUUCAGAAAAAAAUGAUCAUCUUGUCGAAUAAUCUCACAAAAGUAGAAGCAAAAAUUUCGGCGACUUUUUUAACAGGUAUAUUCAAAUGACCGUUAGAAAAAAGCGGAACAUCAAUAUUAUGGUAAUCAACUUUACGUUUAUUCUACCUAACAUAACGGCACUGUGUGUUGUGAUUUAAUUUUGUUGAAAAAAUUGACAAAAAAAAAAUUAGCACGUAAAACAUCUGAUAAAUAAGCAAUAUCGAAUAAAACAACGUUUCUCUAUUGCAAGAAAAGUGUUUCACAAGUUGAAACUAGGGACAAAGUGUGAAGAAAUACAAAACAGCGCUUUUAUGAAAAGACGUUUUCAAAGAAUAUCACAAUUAUACAAUCACAUUUCACACAAUAAGUUGUUAACCCAUUUGAACAACUAUAACUGCAUUCUUAGUUGUUGAUAAUUUUUGUAAAAAAAAAAUGGCCGAAAAAGGUAUAAAGUGCGCACUGUUUUUUUUUUACCUUAUACAUUAAUUACCUACUUCAUCUAUAAAUAAUUAUUGUAUACUUUUUAUUUUCAUUAUCAGAAGAAUUUUCAAACUCGUGGAAUAAUAUCUGAAAAGAGGAAGCAAAAAUUUCGACGACUUCUUUUUAGCAGGAAUAUUCGAAUGACCGUUAGAAAAAAAGAGAAACAUCAAUAUCAAGAUAAUCAAUUGUACAAUAACUCUAACUAAUAUAACGGCACUGUGUGGUGUGGUAUAAUUUGGUGAAAAUAUUGACUGACAAAAGUGGGCACGUAACACAUCUCAUCAAUAAGCAAUUUCCAAUAAAUCAACAUUUUUAUUUUGCAAGGAAAGUCCUUACUAAGUCAACCAAAGUGACAAAG
Molecule: long non-coding RNA, 4244 nt
Filed under: Mytilus galloprovincialis (Mediterranean mussel)
Lineage: Eukaryota; Metazoa; Mollusca; Bivalvia; Mytilida; Mytilidae
Source: RNAcentral